RNAcentral lists this ribosomal RNA (1706 nucleotides) under Candidatus Phytoplasma citri. RNAcentral describes it as "bacterial SSU rRNA". The stretch from base 1 to 1519 matches the Rfam family "Bacterial small subunit ribosomal RNA". Lineage: Bacteria; Bacillati; Mycoplasmatota; Mollicutes; Acholeplasmatales; Acholeplasmataceae. The record is from RNAcentral.
GUUUGAUCCUGGCUCAGGAUUAACGCUGGCGGCGUGCCUAAUACAUGCAAGUCGAACGGAAACCUUCGGGUUUUAGUGGCGAACGGGUGAGUAACACGUAAGCAACCUACCCUAAAGACGAGGAUAACCAUUGGAAACAGUGGCUAAGACUGGAUAGGAAGAAAUAAGGCAUCUUUUUUCUUUUAAAAGACCUAGUGAUAGGUAUACUUUAGGAGGGGCUUGCGCCAUAUUAGUUAGUUGGUAGGGUAAUGGCCUACCAAGACGAUGAUGUGUAGCUGGACUGAGAGGUUGAACAGCCACAUUGGGACUGAGACACGGCCCAAACUCCUACGGGAGGCAGCAGUAGGGAAUUUUCGGCAAUGGAGGAAACUCUGACCGAGCAACGCCGCGUGAACGACGAAGUACUUUGGUAUGUAAAGUUCUUUUAUCAAGGAAGAAAAGCAAGUGGUGAACCAUUUGUUUGCCGGUACUUGAUGAAUAAGCCCCGGCUAAUUAUGUGCCAGCAGCCGCGGUAAGACAUAAGGGGCAAGUGUUAUCCGGAAUUAUUGGGCGUAAAGGGUGCGUAGGCGGUCUAGUAAGUCAGUGGUGUAAUGGCAACGCUCAACGUUGUCCGGCUAUUGAAACUGCUAAACUUGAGUUAGAUAGAGGCGAGUGGAAUUCCAUGUGUAGCGGUAAAAUGCGUAAAUAUAUGGAGGAACACCAGAGGCGUAGGCGGCUCGCUGGGUCUUAACUGACGCUGAGGCACGAAAGCGUGGGGAGCAAACAGGAUUAGAUACCCUGGUAGUCCACGCCGUAAACGAUGAGUACUAAGUGUCGGGUUAAACCGGUACUGAAGUUAACACAUUAAGUACUCCGCCUGAGUAGUACGUACGCAAGUAUGAAACUUAAAGGAAUUGACGGGACUCCGCACAAGCGGUGGAUCAUGUUGUUUAAUUCGAAGAUACCCGAAAAACCUUACCAGGUCUUGACAUGUUUUUGCGAAACGGUAGUAAUAUCGUGGAGGUUAUCAGAAACACAGGUGGUGCAUGGUUGUCGUCAGCUCGUGUCGUGAGAUGUUAGGUUAAGUCCUAAAACGAGCGAAACCCUUAUCGUUAGUUGCCAGCACGUUAUGGUGGGGACUUUAACGAGACUGCCAGUGAUAAAUUGGAGGAAGGUGAGGAUCACGUCAAAUCAGCAUGCCCCUUAUGACCUGGGCUACAAACGUGAUACAAUGGCUGUUACAAAGGGUAGCUGAAACGCAAGUUCUUGGCCAAUCCCCAAAAACAGUCUCAGUCCGGAUUGAAGUCUGCAACUCGACUUCAUGAAGUUGGAAUCGCUAGUAAUCGCGAAUCAGCAUGUCGCGGUGAAUACGUUCUCGGGGUUUGUACACACCGCCCGUCAAACCACGAAAGUUGGCAAUACCCCAAAACGGUAGCCUAACUCGUUUAUCGAGAGGGCGCUGUCUAAGGUAGGGUCGAUGAUUGGGGUUAAGUCGUAACAAGGUAUCCCUACCGGAAGGUGGGGAUGGAUCACCUCCUUUCUAAGGAAACCAAUAAAAUCAAUCAUCUUCAGUUUUGAAAGACUUAGGAUAACUAAGUUUUUCUUCGUGACUUCACGAAGGGCCUAUAGCUCAGUUGGUUAGAGCACACGCCUGAUAAGCGUGAGGUCGGUGGUUCAAGUCCAUUUAGGCCCACCAGAGUUAUAGGUGUCGUAAGAACACAAAUUCU